UUGCUAAGAAUGUGUGAGAGAUGAAGAGACGCAGCCAGAGGAGCAAUGUAUCUAAAAUCAGUCAACACGGUGACGUCCUGGCGUGAGGGAGCCUACAUGUAUGCACUGAGCAUAGGAAUUGCAUUACUUUGGUGUUGUACCUUCCUUCUUCCCACAUCCAUCACCUGCGUAGCUGGCAGGACCAUUACCACAUCCACCGGUACCAGUACAGCCCCUAAGCCCACUACAGCUGGGCCCACCAGUAUGGCUACCACCAUGCAAGCCACAACCACUGGAGCUACCAAGCUCAGGACAGCUACCAUCUCUACUGCCACCGCCACCACAAUCAGACCUUCCAGAGCUGCCAUUAGUACCACAGUAACCCCAUCAAGGAGAAACCAUGCUGAAGCACGAGUGCAUAAUCAGAAGCUCCCAUAAGUGUCCUCCCUGAUGCAUGCAAUUUAAUUGUAAGGUUCUCUAAUGAAUAUAAAUGACUGUU
Long non-coding RNA from Pelodiscus sinensis (Chinese soft-shelled turtle), 478 nucleotides. RefSeq lists it as uncharacterized. The record is from RefSeq and is a predicted model, not a curated record. NCBI's taxonomy places the organism in Eukaryota, Metazoa, Chordata, Testudines, Trionychidae.